CGAGGAGGUAGGGCUUACGCUUGCGUUUGUCUGUUAUAUCUUGGUGGACGAGUUGUCGCGGUUGGGACUGAGGUGCCUACAACGUGCUUUUGAGUGAGUUUGUGUCUCCGUGUGCGCCGUGUGCGGAUAGCUUGCUAUGUAUGUGCGGUUGUGUGUGGAUUGAUGCGGGCCUUAACUUGUUGCCGUUCGGGACGUUGGCGAAAUGGAGCGAUCCGACCCGUCUUGAAACACGGACCAAGGAGUCUAACAUAUGUGCAAGUGUUAGGGUGUGGAAACCCCAGCGCGUAAUGAAAGUAAAGGGCAGCGCAAGUUGUCUGAGGUAGGAAACGUUGUGGACUUCGGUCUGCGGCGUGGCACUAUCGACCGAUCAUGAACCUUCGUGGUGAAAGAUUUGAGUUUGAGCACAUAUGUUGGUACCCGAAAGAUGGUGAACUAUGCCUGAGUAGGGUGAAGCCAGGGGAAACUCUGGUGGAAGCUCGUAGCGAUUCUGACGUGCAAAUCGAUCGUCGAACUUGGGUAUAGGGGCGAAAGACUAAUCGAACCAUCUAGUAGCUGGUUCCCUCCGAAAUUUCCCUCAGGAUAGCAGCAACUUAUUUACGAUAGUUUUAUGAGGUAAAGCGAAUGAUUAGAGGAUUCGGGGAAGAAACUUCCUCGACCUAUUCUCAAACUUUAAAUCUGUAAGACCUGCAGGUUUCUUAAU
This 700-nucleotide ribosomal RNA is filed under the name Pseudoperonospora cubensis. Its description in RNAcentral is "LSU rRNA". It matches the Rfam family "Eukaryotic large subunit ribosomal RNA", at positions 442 to 1095 of the family's 3401-position model. Lineage: Eukaryota; Oomycota; Peronosporomycetes; Peronosporales; Peronosporaceae. The record is from RNAcentral.